GUGCACGCUGGCGGUAGGCCUAACACCUGCAAGUCGAACGGCAGCACAGUAAGAGCUUGCUCUUACGGGUGGCGAGUGGCGGGCGGGUGAGGAAUACAUCGGAAUCUACUUUUUCGUGGGGGAUAACGUAGGGAAACUUACGCUAAUACCGCAUACGACCUACGGGUGAAAGCAGGGGAUCUUCGGACCUUGCGCGAUUGAAUGAGCCGAUGUCGGAUUAGCUAGUUGGCGGGGUAAAGGCCCACCAAGGCGACGAUCCGUAGCUGGUCUGAGAGGAUGAUCAGCCACACUGGAACUGAGACACGGUCCAGACUCCUACGGGAGGCAGCAGUGGGGAAUAUUGGACAAUGGGCGCAAGCCUGAUCCAGCCAUACCGCGUGGGUGAAGAAGGCCUUCGGGUUGUAAGGCCCUUUUGUUGGGAAAGAAAAGCAGCAGGUUAAUACCCCGCUGUUCUGACGGUACCCAAAGAAUAAGCACCGGCUAACUUCGUG
This 491-nucleotide ribosomal RNA is filed under the name uncultured bacterium. Its description in RNAcentral is "partial 16S ribosomal RNA". It matches the Rfam family "Bacterial small subunit ribosomal RNA", at positions 29 to 507 of the family's 1533-position model. The record is from RNAcentral.